CCAUGGUAGGUACACACUGCCCACAGCUACACCAUGGUAGGUACACACUGCCCACAGCUACACCAUGGUAGGUACACACUGCCCACAGCUACACCAUGGUAGGUACACACUGCCCACAGCUACACCAUGGUAGGUACACACUGCCCACAGCUACACCAUGGUAGGUACACACU
Oncorhynchus tshawytscha (Chinook salmon) is the source of this 173-nucleotide long non-coding RNA. RefSeq lists it as uncharacterized. The record is from RefSeq and is a predicted model, not a curated record. Lineage: Eukaryota; Metazoa; Chordata; Actinopteri; Salmoniformes; Salmonidae. The transcript is spliced from 3 exons.